CGAAGUAUAGCAUAUAACUAAUGCCUUUUACUUACACUAAAAAUAAAACAAUAGUUUACUUCGCGU
RNAcentral lists this transfer RNA (66 nucleotides) under Microchaetus vernoni. RNAcentral describes it as "tRNA-Val". Lineage: Eukaryota; Metazoa; Annelida; Clitellata; Crassiclitellata; Microchaetidae. The record is from RNAcentral.